Non-coding RNA from Schizosaccharomyces pombe (fission yeast), 1171 nucleotides. The record is from the annotation of a GenBank genome assembly. NCBI's taxonomy places the organism in Eukaryota, Fungi, Ascomycota, Schizosaccharomycetes, Schizosaccharomycetales, Schizosaccharomycetaceae.
UGUUCGCGAAUUGAAUUAAUGCCCAUCUCAAUGUUUUCAGCUACGUCCGCACGAAUUGAAUCACUUAGAGUCCUGAGUUUAAUAGCACGUUCGUGAACCCUUAAAAUAGAAUCUUUAACGUAUUCAAAUAGAUCCAUAAUUGCCUGAUCGUAAUUAGAUUCUUCGGCUUUUUGAAUAAGAUUUCCUAAGGAAUUCUCAACUGCCAAUACACGAAGGUUAGAGAUCUCUUCAAAUGCUUCAAGUUCCUUUUGACAACUAUCGGUAGCCUUACGAAGAAGAUCUUCCCAAUGCUCGGAAACUGAAAGAGUAAACGUAGAAACCAAGGUUUCAUACUCAUGCUCAAGGUAAUUCAUUGCGUUGGAGAAGCAGUCAUUUUGACUGUUGAAAGUAACAGAAGAGGGAAUGGAAUAUUCAGUUGCCGGCUCUUCUUCUGCAGCUUCCAUUGGUACAGGCGUUUCUACAGACUUUGUUCGCGAUAAGAUAGUAGGAGAGGAUGUGUAAUGUGCUGAGCUGGACGCCAUGGAAGCAGACAUUUCAGACAGUAUUUUUGAGCUUGUUGCUGAUGCAAAGGCCUCCGAUUUUUCCUCGACAACACUCUCAUAAAUAUGCUGAAGUUGGGGUUUAAUAUGCAUGUCCAGAAAGGUACGCAAAAAUCUUAUAGACGUCUCAAUCAUUUGAGUGAUUGUAGCCUUAGCGGCAGGAAAAAACACAUAGCGUAAUUGCAUGUAACCAUCCAUUGCCCCUCUCUGAAUAAUGGGUUUAUAAUGGUGAUAUGCCGGUAUAGCAUGAAUCUCCCAAAAAUAUUGAAGCUUCUCGGCAAUGUCCCUCGAGAUGGUACGAACUUCUUGUACAACUCUUUGAAAAAACGGAAUCAGAACAUCAACAAUAAAAAAAUGAAUCCUUUCCUUCCCUGUUGUAUAGAGUUCACGUAAAUUAUCGCCAUCCAACACUUUAGAGCCAAUUUUCCUGGCUUUUUCGUUGAAUGCUUUUAUACAAGGUGCGACUUUUUUAUCGAUUACUUCAUUAACCUCAUAUCGAAUAUUCUCAACUUUAGGCUUUGCAUGCUCAUCGUAGUAAGACUUUACAUUAACAGUAGCCUGCUUUGCAGCAUCUACGAUAGGACUGGCUUUAGCAAUUUGAGAUUGAACAACCGUUCCGUAGGGACGGACGU